AAUAAAUGAAAAUUUAAACAUUUCUUAAUUCUAGUCACCAAAAACCAUCAAAAUGAACAAAUCCAUCAUCCUUGUCCUUGUCCCAUGCCUUGUUGCUUUCGUCAUGGCCCAGCAAUACGGAUACCAAUCCGGAUACCAGUCAGGAUACCCAGCUUACUACCAGAAUCAACUUAGUGCCUACACACAACAGAGAGGACUGUACAACUAUGGAAACGCUGCCACAGCUCAACUCCAAGGAGCCAAACUUCUUAACUACUUGUUCGGAUUCUUGCUUCUCCUGGACCUCACAAACGCCACAGGAAACUCAUUGACCAGUAGCUUGGGUUAAAAUCUAUGAUGCUCACUACAUAUACACAGUCCGUUUAAACUAAGAUGUUACCACAGGAUAACCUGAUUUGCCAGCUCGAUCUGCUUUUUCCUUAAGUUACAUCGUUUCCUGGUUCCAAUGUUGUGUUUUCGCAGUAGAAAACAACAGUCUUUCUGAUUAUGUGAACUGUGUCAAAUUGAUGUGAAAAAGUUUAUGUUAACAACUUGUACAAUUUAUUUUCACAUAUACUUAAUAAAAAAAAUUAAGAAAU
Molecule: long non-coding RNA, 578 nt
Organism: Mytilus trossulus (common blue mussel)
Lineage: Eukaryota; Metazoa; Mollusca; Bivalvia; Mytilida; Mytilidae
Exons: 3
Source: RefSeq, a predicted model, not a curated record